RNAcentral lists this ribosomal RNA (253 nucleotides) under uncultured bacterium. RNAcentral's name for it is "partial 16S ribosomal RNA". It matches the Rfam family "Bacterial small subunit ribosomal RNA", at positions 524 to 776 of the family's 1533-position model. The record is from RNAcentral.
UACGAAGGGGGCGAGCGUUGUUCGGAUUUACUGGGCGUAAAGGGCGCGCAGGCGGCCAUUCAAGUCAGGCGUGAAAGCCCCGGGCUUAACCUGGGAGGUGCGUCUGGGACUGGGUGGCUAGAGAUCGGGAGAGGAGAGUGGAAUUCCCAGUGUAGAGGUGAAAUUCGUAGAGAUAUGGAGGAACACCAGUGGCGAAGGCGACUUUCUGGUCUGUAACUGACACUGAGGCGCGAAAGCGUGGGGAGCAAACAGG